Molecule: non-coding RNA, 202 nt
Organism: Pelobates cultripes (western spadefoot toad)
Lineage: Eukaryota; Metazoa; Chordata; Amphibia; Anura; Pelobatidae
Source: the annotation of a GenBank genome assembly
GUAAUUCUAAAGUCCUGCACAUGCGCAGAGCCCAGUACAACAUCAAAAUGAGCAGUGUUCGCAUGCCACAGACAUAGGCACAAACAAUCAGGGUGACGGGGAACAAUUCCCCCCCUCCCCAACUUUAGGCAGAACGGAGAUGUAUUUUCCCACCACAGAUAUGUGACCGCAACGAGUAGGUUCGGCUCGAGUGUCACACUAC